Molecule: non-coding RNA, 115 nt
Organism: Alligator mississippiensis (American alligator)
Lineage: Eukaryota; Metazoa; Chordata; Crocodylia; Alligatoridae
Source: Rfam
AUGCUCUGGCUUCUCUUCAAGUUGCAUAAAUCUUUCGCCUUUUACUAAAGAUUUCCGUGGAGAGGAGCAGUUAUGAGUCUCGACCCAAUUUUUGAGGCCCUGUUUUGGCGGGGCU